CUUGGUCAUUUAGAGGAAGUAAAAGUCGUAACAAGGUCUCCGUUGGUGAACCAGCGGAGGGAUCAUUACAGAGUUGCAAAACUCCCUAAACCAUUGUGAACGUUACCUAUACCGUUGCUUCGGCGGGCGGCCCCGGGGUUUACCCCCCGGGCGCCCCUGGGCCCCACCGCGGGCGCCCGCCGGAGGUCACCAAACUCUUGAUAAUUUAUGGCCUCUCUGAGUCUUCUGUACUGAAUAAGUCAAAACUUUCAACAACGGAUCUCUUGGUUCUGGCAUCGAUGAAGAACGCAGCGAAAUGCGAUAAGUAAUGUGAAUUGCAGAAUUCAGUGAAUCAUCGAAUCUUUGAACGCACAUUGCGCCCGCCAGCAUUCUGGCGGGCAUGCCUGUUCGAGCGUCAUUUCAACCAUCAAGCCCCCGGGCUUGUGUUGGGGACCUGCGGCUGCCGCAGGCCCUGAAAAGCAGUGGCGGGCUCGCUGUCGCACCGAGCGUAGUAGCAUACAUCUCGCUCUGGUCGCGCCGCGGGUUCCGGCCGUUAAACCACCUUUUUAACCCAAGGUUGACCUCGGAUCAGGUAGGAAGACCCGCUGAACUUAAGCAUAUCAAUAAGCGGAGGA
Molecule: ribosomal RNA, 614 nt
Filed under: fungal endophyte sp. g79
Lineage: Eukaryota; Fungi
Description: eukaryotic LSU rRNA
Rfam family: 5.8S ribosomal RNA (bases 244-397)
Source: RNAcentral